CAAUAGCGUAUAUUAAAGUUGUUGCGGUUAAAAAGCUCGUAGUUGGAUUUCUGCUGAGAACGACCGGUCCGCCCUCUGGGUGUGUAUCUGGCUCUUUCUUGGCAUCUUCUUGGUGAACGUUGCUGCACUUGACUGUGUGGAGCGCUACCCAGGACUUUUACUUUGAGGAAAUUAGAGUGUUUCAAGCAGGCAUACGCCUUGAAUACAUUAGCAUGGAAUAAUAAGAUAGGACCUCGGUUCUAUUUUGUUGGUUUCUAGAGCUGAGGUAAUGAUUAAUAGGGAUAGUUGGGGGCAUUCGUAUUUAACUGUCAGAGGUGAAAUUCUUGGAUUUGUUAAAGACGGACUGCUGCGAAAGCAUUUGCCAAGGAUGUUUUCAUUGA
This 380-nucleotide ribosomal RNA is filed under the name uncultured eukaryote. Its description in RNAcentral is "partial 18S ribosomal RNA". It matches the Rfam family "Eukaryotic small subunit ribosomal RNA", at positions 592 to 976 of the family's 1831-position model. The record is from RNAcentral.